UAGGGAAUCUUCGGCAAUGGGGGGAACCCUGACCGAGCACCGCCGCGUGAGUGAAGAAGGUUUUCGGAUCGUAAAGCUCUGUUGUUUAGGAAGAACGAGUGUGAGAAUGGAAAGUUCAUGCUGUGACGGUACUUAACCAGAAAGGGACGGCUAACUACGUGCCAGCAGCCGCGGUAAUACGUAGGUCCCGAGCGUUGUCCGGAGUUAUUGGGCGUAAAGCGAGCGCAGGCGGUUAGAAAAGUCUGAAGUGAAAGGCAGUGGCUAAACUAUUGUGGGAUUUGGAAACAGUUUGGCUUGAGUGAAGGAGGGGAGAGUGGAAUUCCAUGUGUGGCGGUGAAAUGCGUGGAUAGAUGGAGGAACACCGGUGGCGAAAGCGGCUGUCUGGUCUGGAACUGACGCUGAGGCUCGAAAGCGUGGUGAGCGAACAGG
RNAcentral lists this ribosomal RNA (429 nucleotides) under Verrucomicrobiota bacterium. RNAcentral describes it as "Verrucomicrobia bacterium partial 16S ribosomal RNA". It matches the Rfam family "Bacterial small subunit ribosomal RNA", at positions 355 to 776 of the family's 1533-position model. The record is from RNAcentral. Lineage: Bacteria; Pseudomonadati; Verrucomicrobiota.